This 244-nucleotide ribosomal RNA is filed under the name uncultured bacterium. Its description in RNAcentral is "partial 16S ribosomal RNA". It matches the Rfam family "Bacterial small subunit ribosomal RNA", at positions 15 to 254 of the family's 1533-position model. The record is from RNAcentral.
GAUCCUGGCUCAGGACGAACGCUGGCGGCGCGCCUAACACAUGCAAGUCGAACGAGCGAGAGAUAGCUUGCUUUCUCGAGCGAGUGGCGAACGGGUGAGUAACGCGUGAGGAACCUGCCUCAAAGAGGGGGACAACAGUUGGAAACGACUGCUAAUACCGCAUAAGCCCACGACCCGGCAUCGGGUAGAGGGAAAAGGAGAAAUCCGCUUUGAGAUGGCCUCGCGUCCGAUUAGCUAGUUGGUG